AGAGGUUGAUCCCGGCUCAGGAUGAACGCAAGCGACAGGCUUACACAUGCAAGUCGAGGGGCAGCACAGGUAGCAAUACCGGGUGGCGACCGGCGCACGGGUGAGUAACGCGUAUGCAACUUGCCUAUCAGAGGGGGAUAACCCGGCGAAAGUCGGACUAAUACCGCAUGAAGCAGGGAUCCCGCAUGGGGAUAUUUGCUAAAGAUUCAUCGCUGANAGAUAGGCAUGCGUUNCAUUAGGCAGUUGGCGGGGUAACGGCCCACCAAACCGACGAUGGAUAGGGGUUCUGAGAGGAAGGUCCCCCACAUUGGUACUGAGACACGGACCAAACUCCUACGGGAGGCAGCAGUGAGGAAUAUUGGUCAAUGGCCGAGAGGCUGAACCAGCCAAGUCGCGUGAGGGAUGAAGGUUCUAUGGAUCGUAAACCUCUUUUAUAAGGGAAUAAAGUGCGGGACGUGUCCCGUUUUGUAUGUACCUUAUGAAUAAGGAUCGGCUAACUCCGUGCCAGCAGCCGCGGUAAUACGGAGGAUCCGAGCGUUAUCCGGAUUUAUUGGGUUUAAAGGGUGCGUAGGCGGCCUUUUAAGUCAGCGGUGAAAGUCUGUGGCUCAACCAUAGAAUUGCCGUUGAAACUGGGGGGCUUGAGUAUGUUUGAGGCAGGCGGAAUGCGUGGUGUAGCGGUGAAAUGCAUAGAUAUCACGCAGAACCCCGAUUGCGAAGGCAGCCUGCCAAGCCAUUACUGACGCUGAUGCACGAAAGCGUGGGGAUCAAACAGGAUUAGAUACCCUGGUAGUCCACGCAGUAAACGAUGAUCACUAGCUGUUUGCGAUACACUGUAAGCGGCACAGCGAAAGUAAUACGUGAUCGACCUGGGGAGUACGCCGGCAACGGUUUAACUCAAAGGGUUAUUCACCCGGGAGAUCUGCUACUACG
Molecule: ribosomal RNA, 930 nt
Filed under: human gut metagenome
Description: bacterial SSU rRNA
Rfam family: Bacterial small subunit ribosomal RNA
Source: RNAcentral